RNAcentral lists this ribosomal RNA (1054 nucleotides) under uncultured Bacteroidales bacterium. RNAcentral's name for it is "bacterial SSU rRNA". It matches the Rfam family "Bacterial small subunit ribosomal RNA", at positions 32 to 1087 of the family's 1533-position model. The record is from RNAcentral. Lineage: Bacteria; Pseudomonadati; Bacteroidota; Bacteroidia; Bacteroidales.
AACGCUAGCUACAGGCUUAACACAUGCAAGUCGAACGGGGUUUUGAGCUUCGGUUCAAAACUUAGUGGCAAACGGGUGAGUAACACGUAUCCAACCUUCCCCUUACUCGGGUAUAGCCUUUCGAAAGGAAGAGUAAUCCCCGAUAUUAUGUUAUUGAUGCCUAUUAUUAACAUGAAAGAUUUAUCGGUAAGGGUUGGGGAUGCGCUCCAUUAGAUAGUCGGUGAGGUAACGGCUCACCGAGUCUAUGAUGGAUAGGGGUUCUGAGAGGAAGGUCCCCCACAUUGGAACUGCGACACGGUCCAAACUCCUACGGGAGGCAGCAGUGAGGAAUAUUGGUCAAUGGGCGCGAGCCUGAACCAGCCAAGUAGCGUGAAGGAAGACUGCCCUACGGGUUGUAAACUUCUUUUAUACGGGAAUAAAGUGCCUUACGUGUAGGGUUUUGUAUGUACCGUAUGAAUAAGCAUCGGCUAAUUCCGUGCCAGCAGCCGCGGUAAUACGGAAGAUGCGAGCGUUAUCCGGAUUUAUUGGGUUUAAAGGGAGCGUAGGCGGGCUUUUAAGCCAGCUGUGAAAGUUUGCGGCUCAACCGUAAAAUUGCAGUUGGAACUGGUAGCCUUGAGUGUGCAUAAGGUGGAUGGAAUUCGUGGUGUAGCGGUGAAAUGCUUAGAUAUCACGAAGAACUCCGAUUGCGAAGGCAGUCCACUGGGGCACUACUGACGCUGAGGCUCGAAAGUGCGGGUAUCAAACAGGAUUAGAUACCCUGGUAGUCCGCACAGUAAACGAUGGAUACUCGCUGUUGGCGAUACAAUGUCAGCGGCCAAGCGAAAGCAUUAAGUAUCCCACCUGGGGAGUACGCCGGCAACGGUGAAACUCAAAGGAAUUGACGGGGGCCCGCACAAGCGGAGGAACAUGUGGUUUAAUUCGAUGAUACGCGAGGAACCUUACCCGGGCUUGAACUGCAGAUGACGGGAGUGGAGACAUUCCUUCCCUUCGGGGCAUCUGUGGAGGUGCUGCAUGGUUGUCGUCAGCUCGUGCCGUGAGGUGUCGGCUUAAGUGC